Long non-coding RNA from Venturia canescens, 2845 nucleotides. RefSeq lists it as uncharacterized. NCBI's taxonomy places the organism in Eukaryota, Metazoa, Arthropoda, Insecta, Hymenoptera, Ichneumonidae. The transcript is spliced from 2 exons. The record is from RefSeq and is a predicted model, not a curated record.
CCCAUCACUAUUCAUUCAAAUAAAAAUCAAUCAUAAAAAAACGAAAUUGUACGGCAGAAUCCGGUUAAAAAUGUACUGAAAGCAGGUACAUAAAAUGCAUUCAUUUCAUGCCCAUCCGUUACAGUUGAAGUAGCUGUUGUCAAUAUUUUGUCAACCCAUUCUACAAUGGAUUUUACUUUACUACCAUCGGACUCAUUUCUGACAUAAUCGCAGAGAUCGUCAACCGGCCGGAGAUGUUCACUGUCUGUGGUAGUGUCGGAUCCAAACUUUCUCAUGGCGAUACCUGUUUUUGACAUUAAAGUUUCAAGAUUGUUUCUGAUUUCUAGGACACUGUUUGUGGAUGAAACUUCUUAAUCAGUCUUGUUGUGCUUGCUUGAAAUUUUUACAGUGGAAUCCAAGUAUUUUUGACCUGCAACUGCAAAUGUGUAAGUCAACAAUUUCUUGAAAUAUUCCACGUCUGAUGCUUGUAUCAUGAGUGCAGCACAUCUGAGGAAAAAUUGUUUAACUUCAAUGUGUGCAAUGGCUCUCCAGCAUUUCCAGUUCGAAACAGCAUGUAGUAUACGUGCAACAUCAACACGUAGGUAAGUAGGGAAAUUGAUUGGUUCGUUCGCUAUUAAUUUUUCAAAACAUUUCUGAAUAUAAUUUUUCAGUGACGUCUCGUUAAAUUCCCUGCACAUUCCAUAGAGAAGAGCUUUUGAAUAAUCGCAUAUCGCUAUUUUUGGUUUUGGGGCACCCGUUCGUAUGAAAAGAUGAAUCCACGUCAUUAUCGAAUGUCCAUCAUGCCUUUCCGACAGCAUCUGAUGAACUGUAUUCCUUAUAUGCGUGAAGCUGAGAUGGAGUGCGAUAAACGACUAUAAAAGGAAAUGAUCCGAUGAGUUCAAUUUUUCCCAUGAAUUCUGGCUGCUCUGAUAUGGCUUCAAUCGAAGCAUUGAGAUCUUUUUUUUUCAGUGAGUCAAGUCCCAAAUUUUUGUCAACACCCUGCUUUUUUGCUUGACGCAGCACUGUUAUAUUUGGAAGGUACGGCGGCUCGUUAUCUCCAAGAACCAUCUCUUCGCGCGCCUUGCGUUUGCGAAAAUUUGAUGAACCCUCAUGUAUCAAAUUUUUUUGAACAUCUUCUCUAUAUUUCCCAUUCAGUGGACACUUCACAACCUCAUGGGUAGCAUCAUUCCGCGUAUCUCGGGUUAAAAAUUCGAGCUUAACACUGUUGUCAUCGGCUGGUUUCUCUUUGAUGUAAGCUUUGAUCUUAUUUCUACACGAUUUUGAUUUACAUCGACCCCAAAUUGUGACAAAAUUAGUCAUACAGCUUGUAGCUUUUGAAACCUUGGAACGUUUAAAAACGUAUGCACAUGGGAUUUUCGUUUGACGUGAAAUAGCAAUCGGUAUGACAUUAUUCCAGACUCCUUUCUGCAGCGUAGGUUUUUGACUUCCAAAAGGGAGAACUGAAAUGAUUAAUCAAUAUUGAAUUAUUGUAAUGACAAUAUUUUUGUAUUAUGACUUAAUUUCAAUCUGACAUUGCAAUCUCAUUGAUACAUAUUCAAGUAUUUUUUUUUUCUCUUCCAGAUUUUAUUCUGGGUGAAAAUUUCUAAAAUAUUAGUGCUAUUGCCUAGAAAUUCAAGAUUCAAAAUUUGAAAACCCUAAAAUGAAAACGCGCUGUCUGUGAAACUUAUUUUGUUACGAGUUCAUUAUACUUCACAAUUUUUAUUAUACACUAAGUUAAAUUUCAACAAAAAGGCGCCUAAAAUACGGAAUUUCCUAUAAAUUGGUAUAUAAAGAAAAUUAUUUAAAAUAUUUCACGUAAUGAAACAUGGUUUAAUCAUUUAGUCAAAUAUCAUCUGCCAUAUAUAAGUGAAAUUUUGGUUCAAUAACAUUUAUCAUGCCUAUUUGAAAAGUUCUUGCGCUUUCCAGUUGACAUUUAUAAAUAAAUUUUACUUUUAGAAAAGUUACAAUUGUCAGAUCUCAAAAAAUAAAACAUCUUCAAAACAUUAAAAAAUUUUGUAAAAUUUAGUAUUAUCAUAAUAUCAUAUUCCCUUAACUGAAAGGAAAAAUGUUCAAUACGUACUCUUUGGAGGACUUAUUGCAUCCCAUUCUUCAUUUGAGAGCUGCACUGUGAAUAAUUGUUGACCUUUUUCCGGUGCAUUUCUCUGAUCGACGUACGACUCGUCGUCGCAUCCGGACGUUGUAGAUUCGCUUGCACUCGUGGCAGAUUUUGUGUCCGUUUCAUCUUUGGGCAAUGGAAUAUUAAUACCUUUUUCCUUUCGUGCAAGAGAGAGGAUAUUCCGGCGAUCCUGAACUACGUUGUUAUAAACGUUAUGUGAUUUCCACCUGUUAUUAAGAUCUUUACUAAUUUCUUCCCAUACUUUGUCCGAAUACUUCGGCAGUUCCGAUGUAUUAAAGUAAGAAAUAAACUUCUUUAAACUUUGCACGGCUUCUUCCACAGGCACAAGAACCUCUCGUGGCAUUACGAAUUAAAAAUACACUACGCGCGUAUAAAAACAGAAACUUUUGAUGAACACCAUGGAUUAAAAAGAGUUUAAAAACAUGAGCACCGGACAAUCAUGAAUUCGAAACACCAAAAAAAUAUGAUAGGAAAUAAGAAAAUUAUUGUUGAAUACGGGAAGCAACACGAAAAAAAAACUAAAAAUAAAAAAGUAGAACGAAAUAGAAACAACUAUCGAUGCUCACGGUUUCGCGCGUGGAACAAUAAUGAUCGCGCGCUUUCAUUUGGCGAUGGCAUUGGUACAGCGCACCAUACAAUGUAUCAUCGACAAAACAUCGAAAAUGGUCUGUAAGAAACAAUGUUUUGGAUGUUACACUCAAGUAAAUAAAAAAUCCAUCGGAUGCUGUA